GCGAGUUCUAAACUCCCAACCCUCGUGAACCUACCUAUUGUUGCUUCGGCGGGGCACCCUAGUACCUAGGGUGCUGCCCCCCCGGGGGCGCCCGCCGGUGGCACGCAACCAAAACUCUGUUCUACAGCGUAUUCUGAGUAAAUUACAAAUAAGUCA
RNAcentral lists this unclassified non-coding RNA (156 nucleotides) under soil metagenome. RNAcentral describes it as "partial internal transcribed spacer 1". The record is from RNAcentral.